Molecule: ribosomal RNA, 481 nt
Filed under: uncultured bacterium
Lineage: Bacteria
Description: partial 16S ribosomal RNA
Rfam family: Bacterial small subunit ribosomal RNA
Source: RNAcentral
UUGAACGCUGGCGGCAUGCCUUACCCAUGCAAGUCGAACGGUAACGGGCCUUCGGGUGCCGACGAGUGGCGAACGGGUGAGUAAUACAUCGGAACGUGCCCGAUCGUGGGGGAUAACGAGGCGAAAGCUUUGCUAAUACCGCAUACGAUCUACGGAUGAAAGCAGGGGACCGCAAGGCCUUGCGCGGACGGAGCGGCCGAUGGCAGAUUAGGUAGUUGGUGGGAUAAAAGCUUACCAAGCCGACGAUCUGUAGCUGGUCUGAGAGGAUGAUCAGCCACACUGGGACUGAGACACGGCCCAGACUCCUACGGGAGGCAGCAGUGGGGAAUUUUGGACAAUGGGCGCAAGCCUGAUCCAGCCAUGCCGCGUGCAGGAUGAAGGCCUUCGGGUUGUAAACUGCUUUUGUACGGAACGAAAAGCCUUCUUUUAAUACAGGAGGGUCAUGACGGUACCGUAAGAAUAAGCACCGGCUAACUACGUG